CCUACGGGUGGCAGCAGUGAGGAAUAUUGGUCAAUGGACGAGAGUCUGAACCAGCCAAGUAGCGUGAAGGAUGACUGCCCUAUGGGUUGUAAACUUCUUUUAUAUGGGAAUAAAAUGUUCCACGUGUGGGAUUUUGUAUGUAACAUAUGAAUAAGGAUAGGCUAACUCCGUGCCAGCAGCCGCGGGAAUACGGAGGAUCCGAGCGUUAUCCUGAUUUAUUGGGUUUAAAGGGAGCGUAGGUGGAUUGUUAAGUCAGUUGUGAAAGUUUGCGGCUCAACCGUAAAAUUGCAGUUGAAACUGGCAGUCUUGAGUACAGUAGAGGUGGGCGGAAUUCGUGGUGUAGCGGUGAAAUGCUUAGAUAUCACGAAGAACUCCGAUUGCGAAGGCAGUUCACUGGACUGCAACUGACACUGAGGCUCGAAAGUGUGGGUAUCAAACAGGAUUAGAUACCCCUGUAGUC
This 460-nucleotide ribosomal RNA is filed under the name uncultured bacterium. RNAcentral's name for it is "partial 16S ribosomal RNA". It matches the Rfam family "Bacterial small subunit ribosomal RNA", at positions 338 to 795 of the family's 1533-position model. The record is from RNAcentral.